Molecule: small nuclear RNA, 316 nt
Filed under: Gorilla gorilla gorilla (western lowland gorilla)
Lineage: Eukaryota; Metazoa; Chordata; Mammalia; Primates; Hominidae
Description: 7SK RNA (ENSGGOG00000030467.2)
Rfam family: 7SK RNA
About the family: 7SK was discovered as an abundant small nuclear RNA in the mid-70s but a possible function has only recently been suggested.
Source: Rfam by way of RNAcentral
GGAUGUGAGGGUGAUCUAGCUGCAACAUCUGUUACCCCAUUAAUCGCCAGGGUUGAUUCGGCUGAUCUAGCUGGCUAAGCAGGUAUCCCCUUCCUCCCUCACUGCUCCAUGUGCAUCCCUCCCAAAUACUGCACGCUCGAUGGAAGAGGACGACUAUCCCCAAUAGAGGAGGACUGGUCUUCCGUCAAGGGUAUAGGAGUAGCUGCGCUUCCCUGCUGGAACCCCCAAACAAGCUCUUAAAGAGGAAUGAAGACCAAUCUUCAAAAACUCCUCCAAAAAAAUACGAGAAGAGGGAACACUUCACAACUUAUUCUUU